Molecule: ribosomal RNA, 1475 nt
Filed under: Lactiplantibacillus plantarum
Lineage: Bacteria; Bacillati; Bacillota; Bacilli; Lactobacillales; Lactobacillaceae
Description: bacterial SSU rRNA
Rfam family: Bacterial small subunit ribosomal RNA
Source: RNAcentral
GCUGGCGGCGUGCCUAAUACAUGCAAGUCGAACGAACUCUGGUAUUGAUUGGUGCUUGCAUCAUGAUUUACAUUUGAGUGAGUGGCGAACUGGUGAGUAACACGUGGGAAACCUGCCCAGAAGCGGGGGAUAACACCUGGAAACAGAUGCUAAUACCGCAUAACAACUUGGACCGCAUGGUCCGAGCUUGAAAGAUGGCUUCGGCUAUCACUUUUGGAUGGUCCCGCGGCGUAUUAGCUAGAUGGUGGGGUAACGGCUCACCAUGGCAAUGAUACGUAGCCGACCUGAGAGGGUAAUCGGCCACAUUGGGACUGAGACACGGCCCAAACUCCUACGGGAGGCAGCAGUAGGGAAUCUUCCACAAUGGACGAAAGUCUGAUGGAGCAACGCCGCGUGAGUGAAGAAGGGUUUCGGCUCGUAAAACUCUGUUGUUAAAGAAGAACAUAUCUGAGAGUAACUGUUCAGGUAUUGACGGUAUUUAACCAGAAAGCCACGGCUAACUACGUGCCAGCAGCCGCGGUAAUACGUAGGUGGCAAGCGUUGUCCGGAUUUAUUGGGCGUAAAGCGAGCGCAGGCGGUUUUUUAAGUCUGAUGUGAAAGCCUUCGGCUCAACCGAAGAAGUGCAUCGGAAACUGGGAAACUUGAGUGCAGAAGAGGACAGUGGAACUCCAUGUGUAGCGGUGAAAUGCGUAGAUAUAUGGAAGAACACCAGUGGCGAAGGCGGCUGUCUGGUCUGUAACUGACGCUGAGGCUCGAAAGUAUGGGUAGCAAACAGGAUUAGAUACCCUGGUAGUCCAUACCGUAAACGAUGAAUGCUAAGUGUUGGAGGGUUUCCGCCCUUCAGUGCUGCAGCUAACGCAUUAAGCAUUCCGCCUGGGGAGUACGGCCGCAAGGCUGAAACUCAAAGGAAUUGACGGGGGCCCGCACAAGCGGUGGAGCAUGUGGUUUAAUUCGAAGCUACGCGAAGAACCUUACCAGGUCUUGACAUACUAUGCAAAUCUAAGAGAUUAGACGUUCCCUUCGGGGACAUGGAUACAGGUGGUGCAUGGUUGUCGUCAGCUCGUGUCGUGAGAUGUUGGGUUAAGUCCCGCAACGAGCGCAACCCUUAUUAUCAGUUGCCAGCAUUAAGUUGGGCACUCUGGUGAGACUGCCGGUGACAAACCGGAGGAAGGUGGGGAUGACGUCAAAUCAUCAUGCCCCUUAUGACCUGGGCUACACACGUGCUACAAUGGAUGGUACAACGAGUUGCGAACUCGCGAGAGUAAGCUAAUCUCUUAAAGCCAUUCUCAGUUCGGAUUGUAGGCUGCAACUCGCCUACAUGAAGUCGGAAUCGCUAGUAAUCGCGGAUCAGCAUGCCGCGGUGAAUACGUUCCCGGGCCUUGUACACACCGCCCGUCACACCAUGAGAGUUUGUAACACCCAAAGUCGGUGGGGUAACCUUUUAGGAACCAGCCGCCUAAGGUGGGACAGAUGAU